GUCAUGGUGUGUCUAUGAAGAUACUGUGGGAUGCUGCAAAUGUCUGUUUUACGGCCGAUACUCGUAUUUCAGGGCUUCUGAUCUGUUCUGCAAGGUCACAUAAACAUGUCGACACUUGUUUUGUAGCGGUCUGUGCCACUUGUAAAAAGCUAUUGAACUGGAAGCGCAGUCAUGGUGUGUCUAUGAAGAAAUACAGGGAUGCUGCAGAUGUCUGUCUGAUGGCCGAUACUCGUACUUCAGGGCUUCUGAUCUGUUCUGCAAGGUCACAUAAACAUGUCGUCACUUGUUUUGUAGCGGUGUGUGCCACUUGUGAAAUGGUAUUGAACUGGGAGCCCCGUAAUGGUGUGUCUAUGAAGAAACUUUGGGAUGCUGCAGAUGUCUGUUUGACGGCCGAUACUCAUAUUUCAGGACUUCUGAUCUGUUCUACAAGGUCACAUGAUUAUGUAGCAGCUUGUUCUGUAACCGUGUGAGCCUCUUGUAAAAAGCUAUUGAACUGGAAACGCAG
Molecule: long non-coding RNA, 505 nt
Organism: Cyprinus carpio carpio
Lineage: Eukaryota; Metazoa; Chordata; Actinopteri; Cypriniformes; Cyprinidae
Source: Ensembl